AGAGUUUGAUCCUGGCUCAGAUUGAACGCUGGCGGAACGCUUUACACAUGCAAGUCGAACGGUAACGCGGUGAGAAGCUUGCUUCUCACCGGCGACGAGUGGCGAACGGGUGAGUAAUACAUCGGAACGUGUCCGCUCGUGGGGGACAACCAGCCGAAAGGUUGGCUAAUACCGCAUGAGUUCUACGGAAGAAAGAGGGGGACCCGCAAGGGCCUCUCGCGAGCGGAGCGGCCGAUGACUGAUUAGCCGGUUGGUGAGGUAACGGCUCACCAAAGCAACGAUCAGUAGCUGGUCUGAGAGGACGACCAGCCACACUGGGACUGAGACACGGCCCAGACUCCUACGGGAGGCAGCAGUGGGGAAUUUUGGACAAUGGGCGCAAGCCUGAUCCAGCUAUUCCGCGUGUGGGAUGAAGGCCCUCGGGUUGUAAACCACUUUUGUAGAGAACGAAAAGACACCUUUUAAAAAAGGGUGUUGCUGACGGUACUCUAAGAAUAAGCACCGGCUAACUACGUGCCAGCAGCCGCGGUAAUACGUAGGGUGCGAGCGUUAAUCGGAAUUACUGGGCGUAAAGGGUGCGCAGGCGGUUGAGUAAGACAGAUGUGAAAUCCCCGAGCUUAACUCGGGAAUGGCAUAUGUGACUGCUCGACUAGAGUGUGUCAGAGGGAGGUGGAAUUCCACGUGUAGCAGUGAAAUGCGUAGAUAUGUGGAAGAACACCGAUGGCGAAGGCAGCCUCCUGGGACAUAACUGACGCUCAGGCACGAAAGCGUGGGGAGCAAACAGGAUUAGAUACCCUGGUAGUCCACGCCCUAAACGAUGUUAACUAGUUGUUGGGAAGUAAAAUUCUCAGUAACGCAGCCAACGCGAGAAGUUAACCGCCUGGGAAGUACGGUCGCAAGACUAAAACUCAAAGGAAUUGACGGGGACCCGCACAAGCGGUGGAUGAUGUGGAUUAAUUCGAUGCAACGCGAAAAACCUUACCUACCCUUGACAUGUCAGGAAGCUCUUGUAAUGAGAGCGUGCCCGCAAGGGAGCCUGAACACAGGUGCUGCAUGGCUGUCGUCAGCUCGUG
This 1073-nucleotide ribosomal RNA is filed under the name human gut metagenome. RNAcentral describes it as "bacterial SSU rRNA". It matches the Rfam family "Bacterial small subunit ribosomal RNA", at positions 8 to 1064 of the family's 1533-position model. The record is from RNAcentral.